Molecule: ribosomal RNA, 488 nt
Filed under: uncultured bacterium
Lineage: Bacteria
Description: bacterial SSU rRNA
Rfam family: Bacterial small subunit ribosomal RNA
Source: RNAcentral
CAUGGCUCAGAACGAACGCUGGCGGCAUGGAUUAGGCAUGCAAGUCGAACGCCGAUAGCAAUAUCGGAGUGGCGCAAGGGUGAGGAACACGUGAGUAAUCUGCCCUCGAGUUGGGAAUAGCUCCGGGAAACUGGAAUUAAUACCGAAUAACAUUGCGGGACCGCAUGGUUCUGCACUUAGAGCAGCAAUGCGCUCGAGGAGGAGCUCGCGUCCCAUUAGCUAGUUGGUGAGGUAACGGCCCACCAAGGCCAUGAGUGGGUAGCUGGUCUGAGAGGACGAUCAGCCACAGGUGGGACUGAAGAACUCGCCCACACCUCCGUACGGGAGGCUGCAGUCGAAGUAAGUUUUGGGCAAGUGGGACGAAACGCCUGACCCAAGCAAUGCCGCGUGCGGGAUGAAGGUCUUCGGAUUGUAAACCGCUGUCAAGAGGGACGAAAUUUGACGGUACCUCUGAAGGAAGCCACGGCUAACUACGUGCCAGCAGCCGC